Molecule: ribosomal RNA, 119 nt
Filed under: Cicer arietinum (chickpea)
Lineage: Eukaryota; Viridiplantae; Streptophyta; Magnoliopsida; Fabales; Fabaceae
Source: RNAcentral
AGGUGCGAUCAUACCAGUACUAAUGCACCGGAUCCCAUCACAACUCUGCAGUUAAGCGUGCUUGGGCGAGAGUAGUACUAGGAUGGGUGUCCUCCUUGGAAGUCCACGUGUUGCACCUU